Molecule: ribosomal RNA, 264 nt
Filed under: Escherichia coli
Lineage: Bacteria; Pseudomonadati; Pseudomonadota; Gammaproteobacteria; Enterobacterales; Enterobacteriaceae
Also listed under: 1 other name
Description: partial 23S ribosomal RNA
Rfam family: Bacterial large subunit ribosomal RNA
Source: RNAcentral
GGGGGCUGCUCCUAGUACGAGAGGACCGGAGUGGACGCAUCACUGGUGUUCGGGUUGUCAUGCCAAUGGCACUGCCCGGUAGCUAAAUGCGGAAGAGAUAAGUGCUGAAAGCAUCUAAGCACGAAACUUGCCCCGAGAUGAGUUCUCCCUGACUCCUUGAGAGUCCUGAAGGAACGUUGAAGACGACGACGUUGAUAGGCCGGGUGUGUAAGCGCAGCGAUGCGUUGAGCUAACCGGUACUAAUGAACCGUGAGGCUUAACCUU